Long non-coding RNA from Photinus pyralis (common eastern firefly), 473 nucleotides. RefSeq lists it as uncharacterized. Lineage: Eukaryota; Metazoa; Arthropoda; Insecta; Coleoptera; Lampyridae. The transcript is spliced from 2 exons. The record is from RefSeq and is a predicted model, not a curated record.
UAUACCGUGAAUGUUUGUGGCAGGUAAACUAAAUUAAUUAAUAUCAACAAUCGCAUUAAAUAAUCCAUGUAUUUUCUACGUAAAAUUAGCUACAUUACAUUAAUGUUUUACUUAUUACUCGUUUUCAUCUUGAAGCCGUGGUGCAGCCAAUUCCCGUUCUAAACGCUCCGUCUGGAGUUGGGAAUUUCUUUGUCUGGCCUGGAAAAUUGUCAGCAUCUUCUCCAGACACCCCAUUGAUAACAUCGCCAGCUCUUGGGGUGUGGACGGCUCGUGCCAUCUGGGCGAUUCAUGAGAUGGCGGCGGCGGUGGUGGUGGUGGCGCCUCUUCUUGGUCGAUGGCUGCUGAAGACGGCGGCGAGACGUGGUCAUAAAAUUCUCUUAGUAAUUGCAUAUCUUUUUCCCCCCUAGGCAACGGGGCACUGUAACAAUAAGAGAAACAAUAUUAAAAAUAGAUUAUAUGUAGAAUAAAAGUAA